UGUUUCUCCGGGACGGUGUCUGUGGAGAUCCCUGAGGGGUUUUCUCUUGGAUUCCCAGCAUUUAUUCAAAAAUGACAAUUAAAUACUUAAUUUUUGAAAACUGGUGAAGAUCAAAGUUUUUGAUUCUCGGAAAUAAAAAAAAUAAAGAGAACUAAACGCCAAUUAUAGUAGAUUUAUUAUUUAGGAAUCCGAGAAUCAUAUCACCAUUAACGAGGCUAUUUAUUUUGUCUUGUUAAUUAGGAGCAAAAUUUUAAAAAGAAGAAUAUAAACAAACCUCAUUCCAAUGUUAAGCAACACGCAUAUCUUAGAGAAAGAAGCACAAAGGCUCAAACUUUGGCACUUCCUUCCUCGUG
Long non-coding RNA from Arabidopsis thaliana (thale cress), 353 nucleotides. RefSeq annotates it as other RNA. Lineage: Eukaryota; Viridiplantae; Streptophyta; Magnoliopsida; Brassicales; Brassicaceae. The transcript has a single exon. The record is from RefSeq.